Non-coding RNA from Anaerolineaceae bacterium 4572_32.1, 155 nucleotides. Lineage: Bacteria; Bacillati; Chloroflexota; Anaerolineae; Anaerolineales; Anaerolineaceae. The record is from Rfam.
UUAAUUUAUAAUCUCUGACCCAAGACAGCAGGUGCAAAGCCGCUUAAUCUGAACAAGGCCCGCCGAGGCAGAGACCUAACACUCUAGAGACCUAUUAUUGUAGGUGAGGUGUUAAAGUCUUUGCGUUGGCGCGCAAAGACUUUUUGCUUAAAGGA